UUUCACAAUUUCCACAACCCCUAUCCCGCCUUUCCAUAUGGCAGAGAGAAUGUUGUGUUUCUUCACCACCUCUAGAAGACUUUCCCAAACAUGGAAGUCUCGCUUGCACGUCCCGCCUUCUUGUUUCGUGUUGAAUCUCUCCUCUUUCACUUCAUCACGCGCUCACACAGACAGAUUAACCUGAGAGCGAGAGAGAGAGAGAGAGAGAGAGAGAGAGAGAUACGCAGCAGUUGGUUCUCUGUGUUUUGUUCUUCAUUUGUAUUGGCAAUGUCGCUGCGCUCGGGUGUCAUUUUCUUGAUGGGUUUUUUUUUUUUUUUUUUUUUUUAGUGAUGAAAGCUUUUUCCCUUUUGAAGCAGAAAUUUGGUCAGUCUUUUGAAGUUUCUCGUGUUUGGUUCAGGUCAUUUGGGGAGGUGGUAGGAAAAGAAAGGGACGAGGUAAACAGUUGAUGGGUCUAAAACAAUGCCCUGAACCAAGGGCUUGCAGCUGAACUGUUUGAUCAAAUGUCUCAAUCACGUAACAUUCCGGUUGUUACAACUCUUGUAGUAUGCUAGACAGCGAAUGCAAGGCUGCUAGAUUUAUUCCACGAUCAAGGAUAAAGAGGGGCCUUCCUAUGUGUUUUGUUAGAUGCAUAUCUUUUGGUGUUGGAGAUAGGGCUUCCAAGGAGGGUAAAGAGGCUCUGCGUCAGGUUGAUCCUUUUGCAAGCUUGACUUACCAAUAAGCCAAGACCUCUGGAGCCCGUGUUACUAGUGCAGGUUUGACAUAUGCUAAAGAGAUUGUGGAGCAAUAAAGAUGAUAUUUCCUGCAGGAGAUGACGAUGCAUUGGUUGUAGCAAAAGCUCAAGCCGUGGUGUCACUACACCAGAAAGAAGCAGAGUUACUGAGUCCCAUAGCCGAGGUUCCCAAAGAAAGAACAAGCUUAAAUACUCAGAAAAGGAAAAGCAUCAUAAACCUGUAAGUUGAUGCUGCUGCUACUACUUUGUCUUCUCUGAGGCAAAGGAUUUAGACACUUUUCAAUGUGUGUUCUAGUGGUUUAUCUCUCAUGAAUUACUGAUUUUCCAUCUUUGGAUGCUUGAAGACAGCUUCUGAUGUACUCUCCAUAAAUAGAUACUUAGACAACUCUACCCGUGGAAAAGCCUAGGUAAUUUUAAAGGGUUUUAACCAUAGUCAGCAUGGCAUUUCGUAGCCUAUAUACAGUUGGAGUUUUUGUUACUCCUUUGAGCUCAGUUAACUAAUUUGAUCAUGUGAGUACUAAGAGACAUAUACAAUGACUUUACAUCCUUCACAAGGUUCAUGGUAGUUUCUGUUAUGUAUUACCACAUUGAUGGUGGCAUGUUUGGACAUAUUUCAUAGGAAAGACUGACAUGUUGAUGCCAUGUUUCA
Long non-coding RNA from Eucalyptus grandis, 1379 nucleotides. RefSeq lists it as uncharacterized. Lineage: Eukaryota; Viridiplantae; Streptophyta; Magnoliopsida; Myrtales; Myrtaceae. The transcript is spliced from 3 exons. The record is from RefSeq and is a predicted model, not a curated record.